GAUGAACGCUGGCGGCGUGCCUAAUACAUGCAAGUCGAGCGAACGGACGAGAAGCUUGCUUCUCUGAUGUUAGCGGCGGACGGGUGAGUAACACGUGGAUAACCUACCUAUAAGACUGGGAUAACUUCGGGAAACCGGAACUAAUACCGGAUGAUAUUUUGAACCGCAUGGUUCAAAAGUGAAAGACGGUCUUGCUGUCACUUAUAGAUGGAUCCGCGCUGCAUUAGCUAGUUGGUAAGGUAACGGCUUACCAAGGCAACGAUGCAUAGCCGACCUGAGAGGGUGAUCGGCCACACUGGAACUGAGACACGGUCCAGACUCCUACGGGAGGCAGCAGUAGGGAAUCUUCCGCAAUGGGCGAAAGCCUGACGGAGCAACGCCGCGUGAGUGAUGAAGGUCUUCGGAUCGUAAAACUCUGUUAUUAGGGAAGAACAUAUGUGUAAGUAACUGUGCACAUCUUGACGGUACCUAUCAGAAAGCCACGGCUAACUACGUG
RNAcentral lists this ribosomal RNA (496 nucleotides) under uncultured bacterium. RNAcentral's name for it is "partial 16S ribosomal RNA". It matches the Rfam family "Bacterial small subunit ribosomal RNA", at positions 28 to 507 of the family's 1533-position model. The record is from RNAcentral.